GACGAACCGUGCGAACGUUAUUCGGAAUCACUGGGCUUAAAGCGCGUGUAGGCGGGCCAUCACGUCGGUCGUUGAAAGCCCCCGGCUCAACCGGGGAACCGGCGCCGAUACGAGUGGCCUGGAGGGGGGUAGGGGGACCUGGAACUUCCGGUGGAGCGGUGAAAUGCGUUGAGAUCGGAAGGAACGCCCGUGGCGAAAGCGAGGUCCUGGACCCCAUCUGACGCUGAGACGCGAAAGCCAGGGGAGCGAACGGG
RNAcentral lists this ribosomal RNA (254 nucleotides) under uncultured bacterium. RNAcentral's name for it is "partial 16S ribosomal RNA". It matches the Rfam family "Bacterial small subunit ribosomal RNA", at positions 524 to 776 of the family's 1533-position model. The record is from RNAcentral.